UACGAGGGGUCUAAGCGUUGUUCGGAAUUACUGGGCUUAAAGCGCACGUAGGCGGCAUCGUAAGUGUCGGGUGAAAUCCCACGGCUCACCCGUGGAACUGCCCGGCAGACUGCGAUGCUCGAGUGUGGUAGGGGAGAGCGGAACUCCUGGUGGAGCGGUGAAAUGCGUAGAUAUCAGGAGGAACACCGGUGGCGAAGGCGGCUCUCUGGUCCACAACUGACGCUGAGGUGCGAAAGCUAGGGGAGCAAACGGG
This 253-nucleotide ribosomal RNA is filed under the name uncultured bacterium. Its description in RNAcentral is "partial 16S ribosomal RNA". It matches the Rfam family "Bacterial small subunit ribosomal RNA", at positions 524 to 776 of the family's 1533-position model. The record is from RNAcentral.